UUAACAACGAGGAAAUUACUUAACAUAUCAAGUCUACAUGACAUAUUACUUUUAUGAAUGACUUAUUCGAAAAGUAAUAUGUCAUGUAGACUUGAUAUGUUAAGUAAUUUCCUCGUUGUUAAAUAUAUUGUUAUACCUGGAUUAUAUUAUGCACUUCAGCUUGUUACAGCUUCAGCUUCAAGUUUGGCUGGUCCGAACUUCAAAGAAACUAUUUAAUGAAAAACUAUUUGUUAGAAAAUAGAUUUGUGUAUACUAUAUAUUAAUUUUGUAAAUAUAAA
This is a non-coding RNA of Paramuricea clavata, 278 nucleotides long. NCBI's taxonomy places the organism in Eukaryota, Metazoa, Cnidaria, Anthozoa, Malacalcyonacea, Plexauridae. The record is from the annotation of a GenBank genome assembly.